Molecule: ribosomal RNA, 263 nt
Filed under: uncultured Ascomycota
Lineage: Eukaryota; Fungi; Ascomycota
Description: partial 18S ribosomal RNA
Rfam family: Eukaryotic small subunit ribosomal RNA
Source: RNAcentral
UUAAAAAGCUCGUAGUUGAACCUUGGACCUGGCUGAUCUGUCCUCCUAAUCGAGCGCACGGAUUCGGUCGGGUCUUUCCUUCUGGGGAGCCCUAUGCCCUUCACUGGGUGUAGUGGGGAACCAGGACUUUUACCUUGAAAAAAUUAGAGUGUUCAAAGCAGGCCUUUGCUCGAAUACAUUAGCAUGGAAUAAUAGAAUAGGACAUCGGUUCUAUUUUGUUGGUUUCUAGGACCGCUGUAAUGAUUAAUAGGGAUAGUCGGGGG